RNAcentral lists this ribosomal RNA (279 nucleotides) under uncultured bacterium. RNAcentral describes it as "partial 16S ribosomal RNA". It matches the Rfam family "Bacterial small subunit ribosomal RNA", at positions 506 to 784 of the family's 1533-position model. The record is from RNAcentral.
UGCCAGCCGCCGCGGUAAUACGGAGGGUGCAAGCGUUAUCCGGAUUUAUUGGGUUUAAAGGGUACGUAGGCGGCAAAGUAAGUCAGUGGUGAAAGCCAGCAGCUCAACUGUUGAACUGCCAUUGAUACUGCUUUGCUUGAGUGCAGUCGAGGUAGGUGGAAUUCCACAUGUAGCGGUGAAAUGUAUAGAUAUGUGGAGGAACGCCGAUAACGAAGGUAACUUACUAGGCUGUUACUGACGCUGAGGUACGAAAGCUAGGGUAGCGAACGGGAUUAGAUA